Molecule: ribosomal RNA, 328 nt
Filed under: Scutellospora sp.
Lineage: Eukaryota; Fungi; Glomeromycota; Glomeromycetes; Diversisporales; Gigasporaceae
Description: SSU rRNA
Rfam family: Eukaryotic small subunit ribosomal RNA
Source: RNAcentral
CCAAUAGCGUAUAUUAAAGUUGUUGCAGUUAAAAAGCUCGUAGUUGAAUUUCGGGGUUCUACCGUUGGUCGGGCUUUGUCUGUACUGGCGUGUAGAAUUUCUACCUUCUGGGGAACCAUCAUGUUAUUAAUUUAACGUGGUGGGAAACCAGGACCUUUACCUUGAAAAAAUUAGAGUGUUCAAAGCAGGCUUAUGUCUGAAUACAUUAGCAUGGAAUAAUAAAAUAGGACGGUGGUCCUGUUUUGUUGGUUUCUGAAUCACCGUAAUGAUUAAUAGGGAUAGUUGGGGGCAUUAGUAUUCAAUUGUCAGAGGUGAAAUUCUUGGAUUU